GCCGGCGUGGCGGAAUCGGCAUACGCGCCGGUUUCAAAAACCGGUCCUUAAUAGGUUGGGGGUUCGAGUCCCCCCGCCGGCA
This 82-nucleotide transfer RNA is filed under the name Lotharella oceanica. RNAcentral's name for it is "tRNA-Leu". It matches the Rfam family "tRNA". From Rfam's summary of the family: Transfer RNA (tRNA) molecules are approximately 80 nucleotides in length. Their secondary structure includes four short double-helical elements and three loops (D, anti-codon, and T loops). The record is from RNAcentral. Lineage: Eukaryota; Cercozoa; Chlorarachniophyceae.